UAUCCCUACGGGAGGCAGCAGUGGGGGAUAUUGCACAAUGGGGGGAACCCUGAUCCAGCGACGCCGCGUGAGUGAAGAAGUAUUUCGGUAUGUAAAGCUCUAUCAGCAGGGAAGAAAGAAAUGACGGUACCUGACUAAGAAGCCCCGGCUAACUACGUGCCAGCAGCCGCGGUAAUACGUAGGGGGCAAGCGUUAUCCGGAUUUCCUGGGUGUAAAGGGGGCGAAGACGGCGAUGCAAGGCAGGAGUGAAAGCCCGGGGCCCAACGCCGGGACUGCUCUUGGAACUGCGUGGCUGGAGUGCAGGG
This 305-nucleotide ribosomal RNA is filed under the name uncultured bacterium. RNAcentral's name for it is "bacterial SSU rRNA". It matches the Rfam family "Bacterial small subunit ribosomal RNA", at positions 334 to 653 of the family's 1533-position model. The record is from RNAcentral.